UACGUAGGGGGCUAGCGUUGUCCGGAAUCAUUGGGCGUAAAGAGCGCGUAGGCGGCCAGAUAAGUCCGGUGUGAAAGUCACAGGCUCAACCUGUGAAUGCCGCUGGAAACUGUCUGGCUAGAGUCCGGGAGGGGCGAGUGGAAUUCCUGGUGUAGCGGUGAAAUGCGCAGAUAUCAGGAGGAACACCAAUGGCGAAGGCAGCUCGCUGGAACGGUACUGACGCUGAGGCGCGAAAGCGUGGGGAGCGAACAGG
RNAcentral lists this ribosomal RNA (253 nucleotides) under uncultured bacterium. Its description in RNAcentral is "partial 16S ribosomal RNA". It matches the Rfam family "Bacterial small subunit ribosomal RNA", at positions 524 to 776 of the family's 1533-position model. The record is from RNAcentral.